AUUGAACGCUGGCGGCAUGCCUUACACAUGCAAGUCGAACGGCAGCGGACCUUCGGGUGCCGGCGAGUGGCGAACGGGUGAGUAAUAUAUCGGAACGUACCUUUCAGUGGGGGAUAACGUAGCGAAAGUCACGCUAAUACCGCAUAUUCUGUGAGCAGGAAAGCAGGGGAUCGCAAGACCUUGCGCUGAUUGAGCGGCCGAUAUCAGAUUAGCUAGUUGGUGAGGUAAAGGCUCACCAAGGCGACGAUCUGUAGCGGGUCUGAGAGGAUGAUCCGCCACACUGGAACUGAGACACGGUCCAGACUCCUACGGGAGGCAGCAGUGGGGAAUUUUGGACAAUGGGCGCAAGCCUGAUCCAGCCAUGCCGCGUGAGUGAAGAAGGCC
This 384-nucleotide ribosomal RNA is filed under the name uncultured bacterium. Its description in RNAcentral is "bacterial SSU rRNA". It matches the Rfam family "Bacterial small subunit ribosomal RNA", at positions 30 to 416 of the family's 1533-position model. The record is from RNAcentral.